GCAGCCUGUUUAACAAGGCCUGUCUGCGUGGGCCGGUCCAUGUUCCGGUUCCGAUUCGGUCUUCCGUGGAUUUUCAUCUCGGAGCAGCGUUUCUCCUGCAGCUGCUAGCAGGCUGUUCUCAGAUGCCUGGCUGUGGCUCAGCUCUUAUCUGUCUGCAAGGGGAUCGGGAACGGCGCGGGGGAGGGCUGAGCGGAGAGGGGGAUCAUGAUGCUGCUAUCUCUGUCUCUCUCCCUCUCUUUCUUUCUUUCUUUCUUUCUUUCUUUCUUUCUUUCUUUCUUUUUCUUUCUUGCCCUCUCUCUCUUGGCUUAUUCCAUCAGCCAGUGUUUGCGGCAACACAACAAGCUCAGAGAUCCACUGGGAAUGGGAGAUAAACCACUGUCCUCACAACAAAGAGCGUGGCACAUGCUGCUCGUACCCCCACCCCUGCCCCGCCCACCGAGGUGAAGUGGGGAGCCAAGAAAUGUGGCAAACAUUCCUCAACAGAUCCAAGGAACCGAGAUAGGACACGACCAAGCUUGACCCCAGACAAACUGUGCAAAGAGCAAACUGGUUCUUGCAGUCGGCUGCUGAAAAAAGCUGUGUGCAACCAAGCUCACGCAGGUAACCUGCAGCAUCUUUCCGUCACCAUCAUGAUGAUUAGAUAAGAAGUUAUCAUGUAAUGUAAUGUUUCCUGUGCCAUCUCUCAGGGCUAGUGAGCCCAGUUCAGUCGGUCCCUUGAAGGAACCGCCCAUCAGCAGAUGCCUGGCACUGCCAAAUAGCCCCGGCGGCAGCAAGAUUUCACAGGAGCUGUUGCAGAUGCUUAGUGUAAUCAGUAAUAAUCUUUGCUCAAAGGCAAGUGAGCUAGAUCUUUUUUUUUUUUUUCAGCACGGCCUCAACUUUGAUAUGUACUUCUAUAGAAUAAAGGCAUCAAGACCUUGGGUUUCAGGGAAAAAUAACAGUGAAUUUCUUUGACACUGGCCUGAAAGCUAUCAAGUGCUAAAAGUGGGUCACACUGUCCAGACUGACAAACCCCUCUCUUCUCCAUAUGUUCACUCAACGCAAACAGGGCUUUCAUAUGCCAGUUUUCCAACCUUCUACAGCAGUUAUUGUGUAUCACUGUGCUUAAAACAGCAGCACACUUGAAAUUUUGGUAGCGUUUCAAAAACUUCAUUUGUUGUAAGAUCUACUGUUUUCAAUAAGUCUUGGAUGGCUUCAAAAGCAGUAGGAAAUGUAGACUCCACCAUUCUUCUACAUUACAUGUAGACUUUGGCCAUUAUAACAACAGCACUUGAGGUUGCAUCCAUAGAGUGUAAUUGAGAGUUUACAGGCAAACAAGUAUUAAAUAGCUUAUCCAACUGCUUUUCCAAAAAGAACCUUGUGUUGGGGAUUAGUUGUAAAUCUAGGAACACAGUGUUCAAAAAAACAGAUGGCACAGGGUUUUAAAGAUUUAUUAGAGGUUGUCUGUAGUGCAUGGACUCGGUCUGAAAUACUUAAAUAUCUCAUUUGGGCUUAUUCAAACACAGCAAUGAUUCCCUGACCAAAUCUCAUCCACAGUCCAUCGCUGACUGCACCAUUCCUGUGGUGCAAACAUUUUCAAAUCUCCUAUGCAUCUUGUAUGAAAUUCAUGGAAAUCCAAUCCAUAUCCCAACUGUAUACAUGUUUUUGGAGCACAUAUUCAAGGGUGUAUGUUAAAGUGCUCCUGAAAAUUGCUGUCUAUCUGACAGCAGCCAGCCCUGCUCAGAAUGUAGGUCAGUGGCAUUUGAACUGGGAAAUCAUAGCAGAACAUGUACACUCUGCAGAGACCUCACUCUCUCCCUACCCUGAAAAUAUAUCAGCAAUCACAUGCAGCCAGAGGUCAAUUAAAUUUAGAUGAGAUUUAUUGAAAAUAGUAGUAAUUGUUAAUGGGUAAAUUGUUAAAACAUUCUGUCUAUCAGUAUAUAUUUAUAUUUUGUAUAUUUAUAAAAUUCCUGUAAAUGCUUUGACUAUAUCUCAUAUUUAUUAGUUAGCAGUAGUUCUGCAUUUGACUAGUUUAUUAUAGUCUUAAUUAGGGGGUGGCAGUUGGUAAAUAUGUGGGAUGGCCUUCAAGUCUGUCUGCAUGACUUCUUCAUUUCAGUCUAUUUUCCAACUAAGGAUAUAUUCAUGUGUUUAAAAUGUCACUGGACAGCACUGAGUUGUUAUUGUCUUCCGGUAGCUGUGCUCUUUGGUUCCCAGGGGUUUUUGCUUUUGUAGACAUCUGAAUAUGCUCCGAUAAAACCUUAUCAUGAGAGAAAUGAAAAUCAACUUCAUUUUUUUUCAGAAGCCUUAUAAAGUAACAUCAGUACCUCCAUUUCAAUUAUUUCAUUAAAUUUAUUUUAAUUCAUUGCAGAUGUAUAUUUAAUGUAGACAAGCAAGAGAUGAUAUUGCAGUCAAUCAUGUGUUUCAUUUGGGAUGCGUAUGGCACACCCAGCCUCCAACCUGUUGCUGCAUGCCUAAUGAACUGUGUAGAACUGUGGAGAGUCAAUAAACUCCUGGUCAGUGUUCUCCUCUUGCCCUUCAGCAGUUACUCCACGUCCAUGCUGGGAGUGUUAUUAGUCAGGAAGAUAAAGAGAGGAGAGGAGAGGAAGUGAACUCUGAGCUUCACCCAUGAGUAUAACAUCAUCACUGCUGUACAGACCUACAUGCAAAGGGACUGAGUGUCAUAUAUGAGCAUGAGUUUAUGCAUCGUGCUUAUUCUAAAGCAUGUGAUUCUUCAUACGAUAAUGGCUCUUUCAUAUUCAAUUUAUGCCUCCUUUCACGUUCUUUUAACUUAGGGAGACAGAUCUUAUAUGAACUCCAAGGAGCUGCUGGUGGGUCCUAACUGAUGUUGCUCACUCUUAAACCUAUAUACCUUUCACAGCAGUGACUGAAUUAUUAGCCUUAUGGUUCAUACUUAAAUAAUAAGUCUAGAGUUUAAGAAGUCAAUAUGAAAUACCAUUAUUGUUAAUAGACUAUUAUAAUUUUAUAAUGAACUAUAGAUGUUACUUCUAUACCACAUUUAUUGGUUAAGUAUGGUAUAUGGCAUGUGUAAUUCUAAUUCAGUUCAAACACUUUUGUACAUGGCCAGUGAUGUGGUUCUGUCAUGGGCAGUGCUGUGUUCUUAUGGGCCGUGCUUGUUUUGGUGGGCAUUGCUGUGUUCUCGUGGGCAUUGCUGUGUUCUCAUGGGCAGUGCUGUGUUCUCAUGGGUAGUGUUGUAUUCUCAUGGGAAGUGCUGUGUUCUCAUUAGCAUUGCUGUGUUCUCGUGGGCAGUGUUGUGUUUUCAUGGGCCGUGCUGUGUUCUCAUGGGUAGUGUUGUAUUCUCAUGGGAAGUGCUGUGUUCUCAUUAGCAUUGCUGUGUUCUCGUGGGCAUUGCUGUGUUCUCAUGGGCAGUGCUGUGUUCUCAUGGGUAGUGUUGUAUUCUCAUGGGAAGUGCUGUGUUCUCAUUAGCAUUGCUGUGUUCUCGUGGGCCGUGUUGUGUUUUCAUGGGCCGUGCUGUGUUCUCAUGGGAAGCCUCAGUGGUUCCCUCAUGAACUCAGGGCUUAGUGCCACUUGGCCCACAUUUCUACAAUGUAAACAUGGUGAUGGAAGGUUAGCAGUUUAGAGACAUCUCACACAUACACACACACACACACACACACAGAGAGCAUGGCUGUUCUUGCUGCUGUGGUCUAGGCAAUGCUCUUCCACAGCCCACCAGGCUUGGGCCUCUAAAUGUAAAGCUCCAGUAGCAGGCAGAAGGCUGGAAAGCUGGAGUCAUAGAACAAAGCACUGAAAGAGAUGGAUGUUCAGGGUCUGGUUUAAACCACACUGCGCUGAGACACAGUUAAAGCUAACGCCGGGCCUUGUAUGGGCUCAUGGCUAGAUGUGGUGGAUUCACUAGCCAAAAUCAUUUUUGGAGUUUUGAGCGAGGACUUUUCUAUGCCAGCCAAUGCGCUACUGCAACAACGCAACGAGGGCCAAGUAUGCCUCAUGCACAACUGAGGCAGUAAUUAAAAAUUGGAGAGAGAGAGAAAGAGAGCGGGAGAGAGAGAACAACGAGAAGCUGUCAUGUUGUGUAUUUCUCAUUAGUUGUUUGCGUGUUGUGAUUAAAUACACUUGUCACAGGUGAAUACUCAAUUGAAACAGAUCACAGCACACUUAGAUGCCUCCUGCCUUGUUGCUGUUUACAUACUGGUUACAGAAGAAGAAAUGGAUACAGUCCACUUAUCGAGUUGUAGGAAAGCAAACUGUUUCUCUUUGUCAAUGUGUGAUGCCUUACAUGCCAUAAUGCUCUGGAACUAGCCUAUUGUACAAACAAACAUGUCAUGUACAAAUUGGGGGGGCUGAGAGGAAGAGGGAGAAAGAAUGAAAAUUGUAGAGAUUGGAAAUGUUUCUUUUCAAACACUUUUUUCACACCUCUCAAAAAAUAGAGAUUUCACAGUGUCAUAUUUAUACCCUGCAAGGCAAAUGAGACAGUUACCUAAAUAGAGAUGGAGCGAUGAAGAGGAGUGGAGGGAUGCAGAGAGAGAGAGAGUCCGUCUAUGCGUGUGUGUGUGUGUGUGUGUCUGUGUGUGUGUGUGUUGUGGACGUUUUGCCUACCUGAAGGUCUUCUGCUUCCAGAGUGAUUGACACAAAACAAAUGCAAUGGUUGCUACAUUUGGGAGGACUUUGGCAUGACCUGUGUAAGGUCAUAUAUAACACAACAGGAGGAUACUAUUACCUAGGGAGCUAGAUGUAACCUGGAUCUGAAGUAUAUUCACAGACAUGAAGGUAAUUACAUUCACCUGCUAAAAUUAUAUAAGUACUAAUGACCUACAUAUACAAGCUUAUUAAUUAUGUUAAUUAAUUCUGUUCAUAAUAUUGUUAACAUAUACUG
Molecule: long non-coding RNA, 4828 nt
Organism: Electrophorus electricus (electric eel)
Lineage: Eukaryota; Metazoa; Chordata; Actinopteri; Gymnotiformes; Gymnotidae
Source: RefSeq, a predicted model, not a curated record